AUUGAACGCUGGCGGCAGGCCUAACACAUGCAAGUCGAGCGGUAGCACAGAGAGCUUGCUCUCGGGUGACGAGCGGCGGACGGGUGGGUAAUGUCUGGGAAACUGCCUGAUGGAGGGGGAUAACUACUGGAAACGGUAGCUAAUACCGCAUAAUGUCGCAAGACCAAAGUGGGGGACCUUCGGGCCUCAUGCCAUCAGAUGUGCCCAGAUGGGAUUAGCUAGUAGGUGGGGUAACGGCUCACCUAGGCGACGAUCCCUAGCUGGUCUGAGAGGAUGACCAGCCACACUGGAACUGAGACACGGUCCAGACUCCUACGGGAGGCAGCAGUGGGGAAUAUUGCACAAUGGGCGCAAGCCUGAUGCAGCCAUGCCGCGUGUGUGAAGAAGGCCUUCGGGUUGUAAAGCACUUUCAGCGGGGAGGAAGGCGGUGAGGUUAAUAACCUCAUCGAUUGACGUUACCCGCAGAAGAAGCACCGGCUAACUCCGUGCCAGCAGCCGCGGUAAUACGGAGGGUGCAAGCGUUAAUCGGAAUUACUGGGCGUAAAGCGCACGCAGGCGGUCUGUCAAGUCGGAUGUGAAAUCCCCGGGCUCAACCUGGGAACUGCAUUCGAAACUGGCAGGCUAGAGUCUUGUAGAGGGGGGUAGAAUUCCAGGUGUAGCGGUGAAAUGCGUAGAGAUCUGGAGGAAUACCGGUGGCGAAGGCGGCCCCCUGGACAAAGACUGACGCUCAGGUGCGAAAGCGUGGGGAGCAAACAGGAUUAGAUACCCAGGUAGUCCACGCCGUAAACGAUGUCGAUUUGGAGGUUGUGCCCUUGAGGCGUGGCUUCCGGAGCUAACGCGUUAAAUCGACCGCCUGGGGAGUACGGCCGCAAGGUUAAAACUCAAAUGAAUUGACGGGGGCCCGCACAAGCGGUGGAGCAUGUGGUUUAAUUCGAUGCAACGCGAAGAACCUUACCUGGUCUUGACAUCCACAGAACUUUCCAGAGAUGGAUUGGUGCCUUCGGGAACUGUGAGACAGGUGCUGCAUGGCUGUCGUCAGCUCGUGUUGUGAAAUGUUGGGUUAAGUCCCGCAACGAGCGCAACCCUUAUCCUUUGUUGCCAGCGGUUAGGCCGGGAACUCAAAGGAGACUGCCAGUGAUAAACUGGAGGAAGGUGGGGAUGACGUCAAGUCAUCAUGGCCCUUACGACCAGGGCUACACACGUGCUACAAUGGCAUAUACAAAGAGAAGCGACCUCGCGAGAGCAAGCGGACCUCAUAAAGUAUGUCGUAGUCCGGAUUGGAGUCUGCAACUCGACUCCAUGAAGUCGGAAUCGCUAGUAAUCGUAGAUCAGAAUGCUACGGUGAAUACGUUCCCGGGCCU
Molecule: ribosomal RNA, 1361 nt
Filed under: uncultured bacterium
Lineage: Bacteria
Description: bacterial SSU rRNA
Rfam family: Bacterial small subunit ribosomal RNA
Source: RNAcentral